Molecule: ribosomal RNA, 348 nt
Filed under: Triticum aestivum (bread wheat)
Lineage: Eukaryota; Viridiplantae; Streptophyta; Magnoliopsida; Poales; Poaceae
Description: partial small subunit ribosomal RNA
Source: RNAcentral
GCCUCUAUACCUGUGUAUUAUAUGUCUAAUAUUCUUUUCUAUAAGAAGUUCUUAGGAAAGCUCACAGUGAUUAUAAGAAACUUCUGGUGGACAGGUGUAAGGGAUGAAGCUACUACAAAAAGCUUGUGCCUUAGGGCAUGGACAAACAUUUGCAUUGAGAAGAAAAUUGGUGGUUUAGGCAUCAAGAACUUGCGGGCAAUUAAUCAAGGACUUAUUCUUUCUGCGGCAUGGAGGUUGGCAAAAGAACCAAAUAGUCAGAUGGCUUUGAUCCUCAAGGCUAAGUAUCACCAUGACACGUCCAUUUGGGAGAGCCAAAGCAAACAAGCCAAAAUCAGCUUUCUGGGCUGA